Long non-coding RNA from Polistes dominula (European paper wasp), 968 nucleotides. The record is from RefSeq and is a predicted model, not a curated record. Lineage: Eukaryota; Metazoa; Arthropoda; Insecta; Hymenoptera; Vespidae.
UAAAGAAGAAAUGUUUAAAUCGGUUUCAGUAAUAAAACUGAAGGAGUCGUUUCAAGCAUAAACCGGCUUACAUGUUCCACGAUCAACUCACGUAGGUGUAGUAGAUACGUAUAACAAGUAUAUGUAGUAUAAAACGAAGUAUAAGAAUAAGAAAUAAGCAGCACACUCUGGGAUCUACUUUACGAAGCCGGUUUUCAAACCUUAUUCUCGUCUUCAUUGACCGACUCAACCAGAAUCAGUCUAACAAAGAUCGCAGUUCGUGUUGAUACGUACAUAUAUAUAUAUAUAAUAUAUACAGUGAUCAUAUGUGAUCAUAUGUUUAUUGAUUUCAUCCACGUGAUUUUAUUUUUAUAUUAAACGUAGAAAAAUUACAAAAUCGUGAAAUAAUAGUUAACAAUGUGUAAUUCAACAUUAUUUGUGAUAUUUUUUUUCCUGUUGAAUAUUAAAUUAAUUAAAUAACAUUGUGAAUUCAUGAAUCCAGUGAAUUUCCUACGAAACGUUUAAAAUACUUCUUCUUAUUAUUAUUAUUGUUUAUUAUUAUUAUAUGAAUCAAGUGAAUUUUCUACGAAACAUUUAAAUCCUUAUUAUUAUUGUUAUACCUUUAAGUUAUUUAAAUAAUACGUGAACAAAUAUACGAAGAAAAGAUAUGUUAAUUGUUUGACAAAUAACAAAACGAAGAUUAAACAGAGAAAUGGAUAAGAGUUACCACUUAUGUUAUUUAUAACAAGAUUAAUUUAAAUAAUUAAUUGGACAUGUCAGACGUUAUUUGGAUAAAAAUUAGUCGAGUUUUCAGUUGACAUGGAACGUCUCUAGACUACUCGAAGACGAGCCUUCAGAGAGGAACGAUAGGAGACCAAAUUUUUUUUUUUACCAUUCAAAAGAAUUUUUGAAGAUUCAUCUUAAUUAUCAUGACUCGUUUCGAAACUGACAAAGGUUGGGCUUGGAUGAUAGUUUUAGGUGCUACUAUU